GUACAUAAUCUCAUUGGUAAGAAAUAGGUUGGAAUAAAUGAAAGUUAUCCUCUAUGGACCUUUCCCCGACCUUUGACCUUUAUUGUUUUUGGUCGCUCAGACAAACAUUGCAAAUAUUCAGACUUGUGUAGGGCGAUAGACUGGUACGGUGCGUUGCUCGUUUUGAAGGCCUUCAGAUGGCAUUUCACUAGUGAUGGCGGUAUUUUCGUGCUUCUAAAGUUAUACCAUAUUGUCAAGUGAUCUAUUAUUAACGUUAUUCCGCCUUCACAUUGCCGUUACCGUACCUGACUUAGUUCCAAAAGCGGCGAAAAGCCUACCGGUAUGUAGUUUAACCUCGAAUCGGAGUUUAACUUUGGAUCGGCGGUUUAAGUCCGGAUCAAAAAGAUAUUUGAAUCUACCUGUGCCCAAAAGUUUCCUUUUAGUUAUAUUUUGUGUAUGAGCAGAACUGAGAUUUACCUACGAUCGGCUAAUUCACAAGUCUGCAAGGUCCCGAAGUUGGAUCAAAAAAAUAGACAAGGAGCGAAUAGAUAGCAGAAGCUGUUUCAAGUCAAGUAAACUGUCUGAGUGCCAUGAUGAUGAUCAAUUUUAUCAGCUCUAUUGGAGGAGCAAAUUUGUCAUGAAGAGAAACAACUGUUAUGGAUAGGAUUAUAGUAAAAGUGUUGUCAAGUCAAGGCAGUGUGCAGCAGUGCUUUAUUCUACGCCUUCGUGUCCAACAAAUAUGUGGAACCCGGUUAACUUAAGCCUAACAAACAAAUAAUUCUUGCAUGCUAAAACAUUUGAAGCAAACGUAGUUAUGUUGAUUUUUCGUCACUUGGCGAGUCUUUCGCAGAAGAAAUAAAUUAACUUAAAUAGCAACGAAAGCAACAACUAUGAUUGCACCUGUGUCUGUGUGCAUUACGUUGACACAUUCCUGUCUCAAAGCUGUAGAGCCAGAAUAAAAUUUAGCACCUCUUCCGAAUUGAUUUUUUCAAUUUCUUGAAUGUCAGUACAUUUUAGCAGUCAUUUGAACAAAUGAAUAUUGGUUAUUUUCGCAAUACAAAUUUUCAAAAUAAUAAAAUGUUAAAUAUGUAGAA
Molecule: long non-coding RNA, 1073 nt
Organism: Styela clava
Lineage: Eukaryota; Metazoa; Chordata; Ascidiacea; Stolidobranchia; Styelidae
Source: RefSeq, a predicted model, not a curated record